Apis mellifera (honey bee) is the source of this 2771-nucleotide long non-coding RNA. RefSeq lists it as uncharacterized. The record is from RefSeq and is a predicted model, not a curated record. The transcript has 3 exons. Lineage: Eukaryota; Metazoa; Arthropoda; Insecta; Hymenoptera; Apidae.
AUUGCAAGAAGAAUAUUAAAAAUUAUAAAUAUUAUUACAUAUAAUUUUAUCAGUAUAAAUCUCAACUGACAAUUUUGUAUAUGAACUUUUAUUUAUUUUGGACUUUAGAAUCGACCUUGUACUUUACAAAUAUACAUAUGUAAAUAUACAUAUAUAUAUAUAUUAACAUUAUUAACAUUUCGUAAAUCUUUAUUCGCAAGCUUCUAUGUACAAGUUUUUCACGAAUUACUAUCAUAAUCAAUAAUUGCUUUUACUGUCUCUUAUUGUUUGCAAACUGUUCAUCACGAAUUAUGAGUUUUUGCAUGUGAAACGAUAAUUUAAAGAGUUACAAAGAAAAAUGUGUAUAUAAACAUAAAGAAUGAAAAAAUGUUACACUGCAAUUUUGAACAAUUCAUUCCAUACUGAAUUAUGGUAGCAAGAUUUCUGCGCAGUAUAGUGCGCAUAUCUCAUAUAAAAUUCUAUGGUAACCAAUCAACGAACAGUAUAAAUUUGUGUAAGUAUAGUAACGUAACUGAUUUUAUAAGAGUUCAAAUGUUAUUCAUAGUUGAAUUGCGGAACUGUGUGUUUCGUAUUAUAUUAUAUUCAAUAUUCAUAUGUGAUUUUAUAUUAAAAUAUUAUUUAAUAUUAUAAUGUAAUAUAUAUUUUAUAAUGUAAUAUGUGCUAAAUGAAGUAUACGAAUAAGAAUGUAUUAUAUAUAUAUAUUUGAUUAUUAGAAAUUUUAAAAAGAAGAAAUGGAUAUACAUAUGAAUGCACGUGUUCGCAAAAAUGUAUAACAUUACAUAUUAAUCAUUAAUUUAUUUGAGAGUUCUGUAAGGCAGAAAUGCAGUUUAAUGACUCAAUACUGAUGACGAAAACUUUCUUAAUGUAUUUUUUGAUGAUUUUGAACUUUCUUUUGAUGUAGUAUUGAAAAUUAUCAUCUGGAUGUUGACGCUGGAUUUCAUGAGACUGAAUUCAGAACCAUAUUAAUGAGAAUGCUGUUUCCUAUUUUGAAUCCAUGGAUAAAGAUCAAGAAGGAGUAUAACAAAAAUAUUUGAUAGAUGAAGUUUCUUGAAAAUUUCUUGAAAAUUGAUAUAGAAAAAUAGAAAUAAUUCUUAUAACAACAAAAAUGAAAAUCUAAUGGAUUAUUCAAGUGAAAAUAAUGAUCAGCAAAAUAUUCGUACCAUUGCUUAUUUAAAUUUAAGUGAAAGUAGUUACUUUCAUAUAUAAUUCAUAAAUGUGCAAAACAAGCAACUAUAUUAAGCAGUGAUAAUUCUGACAUAGCAGAGGACGAAUAAAAUUAAAAUGCAAAGAAAAAUAUUGUUAAUAUUAAUAAAUAUUAAUAUUAAUAAUAUAAAUAUUAAAUUCACUAAAAUAUGCUUCAAUUUUAUGAAGAUUAGAAAAAACGAAACAUUUCUAUGUUUUAGAACAAGUUAUGUGAUGAUUUUUUCUAUACAAUAGUUAGAGAAAAUAGUUAGAGAAAAUAUACAAAAAUAAAAGAAAAUGCAGAAUAUGAAAAAAAACUUCGAUUGAUUAAAAAAGAAAUAAAUAUCACCAAUCACGACAUUUUAAUUAAACGAUCUCGAACAGAAUUAACCAAAAACGUCAAUAUAGUCACUUAUUUAUUAAUAAUUUUUUUCGCAUUAAUAGAUCAUUUCGCACCAUUAUUUUAACUUUUUAACUAACCUUAUUACUACAAACCUAACUACAAACUUAGGCUUUGCAUCAUUAAAUUGAAAUAGAAUCAUUGAAAUCACAAUGAUAACAUGUAAUCAAAACGCUCUCAACAAUAAUUAAAUAUUCUUCAAUUGUAAUUGAAGAUGAAUUUGAGGUAAACGAUGUUGCACAGGUAAUAAAAAAGUUAGUAUGUAAUAAAAAACAAUAGUUUUAAUAAACAUGUGAUAUUAUAUUAUAUAUUAUAUAUGAAUAUAUUAUAUAAAUAUAUUAUAUGAAUAUAUUGAGAAAAUUUGGAGAACAUCUAAAACAUUGAACAGAUGGUACAGGAUGAUACUGCAACGAUAAUGUCAUUUUUAAGAGAAGAAUUUGGAAAAUCCUUGGAAUUGUAUAUUUAUUAGAAAGACUGCGGCGGGACUAAAGUGUGAACGUGAUCUUGAAACAAUAUUUUCCAUCCAUAUCAAUCUCAACGAUAAUCAGCAUCAUCCUGUUUGAGAAGAAUUAUUGCAAACAUUUCUCUGUUUCCAGGAACAGUUUCCUGGAAAUAGAGAAAUGUUUUUUGCAGAACUCUGUAGAGUUGGAAUAGCCUCUUAAUUUGAUUCUAGGAUUUCCUUGGAUUGCUCAAUUAGAAGACUGGUCCAUAAUGUUAUUGGUCGUUUGUGUACCGCAUCGAAGAUACGCGAUUUCUCGAGAUAAACAUGAAAGAAGAAGGUACGAGCUUUUGAAAGAAAUUUCGAACUUCAAAACUGUUUGAAUUUCGAAAUUUUUGUAAUUUUAGAACUUCUUAAAUAUCAAAACUUUAUAUCUUAGAAUCUUCCUUCCUAUCCUAGAAUCUUAUAAUCUAAAACAAACAAAACUUUAGAACGUUGUGAUCAAAUAAUAAACGUAAACGUUCAUUAGCAUAUAAACUUUGCCCUUGAUCCGUUUAGAAUAGAACUUCGUAAUAAAUUAAUUUUUAUGGUAUUAUUAUUAUAUAUCAUAGUUCCAGAAAUAGGUUAGAACUAACAGCAUUUGUAUGAUAUUAUUAUUAUAUAUCAUAGUUUCAGAAAUAGGUUAGAACUAACAGCAUUUACGAUUAGAUUGAAAAAAAAAACAUUUUAGAAUUUUGGAAUAAACAAAAA